UUGAGCAGUAGGAGUUUUGGAGCAUUUGGCUCGGCAUGAGUUGUUCUCUUGCUAGUGUUUGGGAGUGAUUUUUGUGUUGAUUGUGUUGGUUGGCUUAUCAUGGUGUUUUCGGAAUUUGGCCAAGGUGGAGAUUGUUGAAUUAUGGCCAAACAAACAACUUUCGGCUAUUAAAAAAAAAAAAGGAAAAGAAAAAGGGACAACAUUAUGAUGUUUCUUCCUUGUUUUGGGGAAAAGAAAAGCACUUUGUCUAAAGUUUUCUUGGUCCAUGGGAAGUCACGGGGUGACUUGAAUGAAUGGCUAUGUUAUGAUAAGGAAGCUGCUGCCCUUUGUUUUUUUAAGUGAGCAGAAAAUUGGUGAGCCG
Molecule: long non-coding RNA, 361 nt
Filed under: Malus domestica (apple)
Lineage: Eukaryota; Viridiplantae; Streptophyta; Magnoliopsida; Rosales; Rosaceae
Description: long non-coding RNA (MDOM_LNC010829)
Source: RNAcentral